Molecule: transfer RNA, 73 nt
Filed under: Planctomycetaceae bacterium
Lineage: Bacteria; Pseudomonadati; Planctomycetota; Planctomycetia; Planctomycetales; Planctomycetaceae
Description: tRNA-Asn
Rfam family: tRNA
About the family: Transfer RNA (tRNA) molecules are approximately 80 nucleotides in length. Their secondary structure includes four short double-helical elements and three loops (D, anti-codon, and T loops). Further hydrogen bonds mediate the characteristic L-shaped molecular structure. tRNAs have two regions of fundamental functional importance: the anti-codon, which is responsible for specific mRNA codon recognition, and the 3' end, to which the tRNAs corresponding amino acid is attached (by aminoacyl-tRNA synthetases). tRNAs cope with the degeneracy of the genetic code in two manners: having more than one tRNA (with a specific anti-codon) for a particular amino acid; and 'wobble' base-pairing, i.e. permitting non-standard base-pairing at the 3rd anti-codon position.
Source: RNAcentral
UCCCCUGUAGCUCAGUUGGUAGAGCAGCGGACUGUUAAUCCGCGUGUCCCUGGUUCGAGCCCAGGCGGGGGAG